CAUGAAAAACAGGGGAGCCGAAAGGCUGAGAGGAAGCGCCGCUUCGACCCUUUUACCUGAUGUGGGUAAUGCCACCGUAGGAAGUUUUCAUGGAAGCUCC
Molecule: non-coding RNA, 100 nt
Filed under: Oscillibacter sp. 1-3
Lineage: Bacteria; Bacillati; Bacillota; Clostridia; Eubacteriales; Oscillospiraceae
Also listed under: 1 other name
Description: TPP riboswitch aptamer (THI element)
Rfam family: TPP riboswitch aptamer (THI element)
About the family: Vitamin B(1) in its active form thiamin pyrophosphate (TPP) is an essential coenzyme that is synthesised by coupling of pyrimidine and thiazole moieties in bacteria. The previously detected thiamin-regulatory element, thi box was extended, resulting in a new, highly conserved RNA secondary structure, the THI element, which is widely distributed in eubacteria and also occurs in some archaea.
Source: Rfam by way of RNAcentral